GACGAACGCUGGCGGCGUGCUUAACACAUGCAAGUCGAACGGAAAGGCCCUGCUUUUGUGGGGUGCUCGAGUGGCGAACGGGUGAGUAACACGUGAGUAACCUGCCCUUGACUUUGGGAUAACUUCAGGAAACUGGGGCUAAUACCGGAUAGGAGCUCCUGCUGCAUGGUGGGGGUUGGAAAGUUUCGGCGGUUGGGGAUGGACUCGCGGCUUAUCAGUUUGUUGGUGGGGUAGUGGCUUACCAAGGCUUUGACGGGUAGCCGGCCUGAGAGGGUGACCGGCCACAUUGGGACUGGGAUACGGCCCAGACUCCUACGGGAGGCAGCAGUGGGGAAUGUUGCACAAUGGGCGGAAGCCUGAUGCAGCAACGCCGCGUGCGGGAUGACGGCCUUCGGGUUGUAAACCGCUUUCGCCUGUGACGAAGCGUGAGUGACGGUAAUGGGUAAAGAAGCACCGGCUAACUACGUG
RNAcentral lists this ribosomal RNA (468 nucleotides) under uncultured bacterium. RNAcentral describes it as "partial 16S ribosomal RNA". It matches the Rfam family "Bacterial small subunit ribosomal RNA", at positions 28 to 507 of the family's 1533-position model. The record is from RNAcentral.